RNAcentral lists this RNase P RNA (358 nucleotides) under Porphyromonadaceae bacterium CG2_30_38_12. RNAcentral's name for it is "RNase P RNA component class A". It matches the Rfam family "Bacterial RNase P class A". From Rfam's summary of the family: Ribonuclease P (RNase P) is a ubiquitous endoribonuclease, found in archaea, bacteria and eukarya as well as chloroplasts and mitochondria. Its best characterised activity is the generation of mature 5'-ends of tRNAs by cleaving the 5'-leader elements of precursor-tRNAs. The record is from RNAcentral. Lineage: Bacteria; Pseudomonadati; Bacteroidota; Bacteroidia; Bacteroidales; Porphyromonadaceae.
ACAGUAAGCCGGUUUGUCGCUACGCAAUUUGCGCAGAGGAAAGUCCGGGCAACACAGAGCACCAUACUUCCUAACGGGAAGCUGUUUGCGAAAGCAGCGUAGCGUAACAGAAAAUAACCGUCCCAACUUGUUGAGAUAAGGGUGAAAAGGUGAGGUAAGAGCUUACCGGUAUUGUUGGCAACAACAGUAGCCGUACGCCGUAUGGGUUGCAAGAUCAUGUAUACCAGCGCAUGUAGGAUGGCUCGUCCGAUGCUGGGGGGUAGAUUGCUACAGAUGUAAGGUAACUUGCAUCGCAGAUAAAUGACAAACGCUUUGUGUAAACAAAGUACAAAACCCGGCUUAUAGGCUUACUGUUUUU